RNAcentral lists this ribosomal RNA (253 nucleotides) under uncultured bacterium. Its description in RNAcentral is "partial 16S ribosomal RNA". It matches the Rfam family "Bacterial small subunit ribosomal RNA", at positions 524 to 776 of the family's 1533-position model. The record is from RNAcentral.
UACGAAGGGGGCUAGCGUUGCUCGGAAUCACUGGGCGUAAAGGGUGCGUAGGCGGAUUUUUAAGUCGGAGGUGAAAGCCUGGGGCUCAACCCCAGAAUUGCCUUCGAUACUGAGAGUCUUGAGUUCGGAAGAGGUUGGUGGAACUGCGAGUGUAGAGGUGAAAUUCGUAGAUAUUCGCAAGAACACCGGUGGCGAAGGCGGCCAACUGGUCCGAUACUGACGCUGAGGCACGAAAGCGUGGGGAGCAAACAGG